Molecule: ribosomal RNA, 250 nt
Filed under: uncultured bacterium
Lineage: Bacteria
Description: partial 16S ribosomal RNA
Rfam family: Bacterial small subunit ribosomal RNA
Source: RNAcentral
GACGGAGGGAGCAAGCGUUGUCCGGAUUUACUGGGCGUAAAGCGCGCGUAGGCGGCCCGUCAAGUCAGCGGUGAAAUUGCUGGGCUCAACUCAGCAACUGCCGUUGAUACUGGCGGGCUCGAGUCCGGGAGAGGGAAGCGGAAUUCCUGGUGUAGCGGUGGAAUGCGUAGAUAUCAGGAAGAACACCGGUGGCGAAGGCGGCUUCCUGGACCGGUACUGACGCUGAGGUGCGAAAGCUAGGGGAGCGAAC